AAUACUAAGUGGAGGACCGAACCGACUGAUGUUGAAAAAUCAACGGAUGAGUUGUGGUUAGGGGUGAAAUGCCAAUCGAAUUCGGAGCUAGCUGGUUCUCCCCGAAAUGCGUUUUGGCGCAGCGGUAAAUGUUAUAGCUUAGGGGUAAAGCACUGUUACGUAUGCGGGCUGGUAAUUCGGUACCAAAUCGUUGCAAACUAAGAAUACUAAGUGUACAAUUUACCAGUAAGACUGUGGGGGAUAAGCUCCAUUGUCAAAAGGGAAACAGCCCAGAGUACUAGUUAAGGCCCUUAAAUAAUUACUAAGUGAUAAAGGAAGUGGGAGUGCAUAAACAAUCAGGAGGUUUGCUUAGAAGCAGCAAUCCUUUAAAGAGUGCGUAAUAGCUCACUGAUCGAGUAAACCUGCGCCGAAAAUGUACGGGACUAAGUAAUCUGCCGAAACUGUGCGAUAUAUUGAAAAUAUAUCGGUAGGGGAGCGUUCUGUUGUAGAUUGAAGUAUUAGCGUAAGCGGAUAUGGACGAAGCAGAAGUGAGAAUGUCGGCUUGAGUAACGAAAAUAUAGGUGAGAAUCCUAUACCCCGAAAACCCAAGGUUUCCUCCGGAAGGCUCGUCCGCGGAGGGUAAGUCAGGACCUAAGGCAAGGCUGAAAAGCGUAGUCGAUGGACAACGGGUUAAUAUUCCCGUACCAUUAUUUGUUGAUAUCGAGGGACGGAGAAGGCUAAGCUGGCCGGAUAUUGGUUACCGGUUUAAACGUUCAAGAUGAUGAGAAACGGAGAAAACGUUUUGAGUUGAGGCGUGAUGACGAGAUGCUACGGCAUUGAAGCAGUCUAUGUCAUACUUCCAAGAAAAGCUCGCACUGUCGUAAAUAAAUAAUGCCUGUACCAUAACCGACACAGGUGGGUAGGUAGAGUAUACUAAGGGGCGCGAGAUAACUCUCUCUAAGGAACUCGGCAAAAUGACUCCGUAACUUCGGGAGAAGGAGUGCCUUAUUUAUAAGGUUGCAAUAACAAGAUCCAAGCAACUGUUUAUCAAAAACACAGGUCUCCGCUAAGUCGUAAGACGAUGUAUGGGGGCUGACGCCUGCCCAGUGCCAGAAGGUUAAAGAAGUUGGUUAGCAUUUGCGAAGCUGAUAACUGAAGCCCUGGUGAACGGCGGCCGUAACUAUAACGGUCCUAAGGUAGCGAAAUUCCUUGUCGGGUAAGUUCCGACCCGCACGAAAGGCGUAAUGAUCUGGGUACUGUCUCGGAGAGAGACUCGGCGAAAUAGAAAUGUCUGUGAAGAUGCGGACUACAUACACCUGGACAGAAAGACCCU
This 1312-nucleotide ribosomal RNA is filed under the name marine metagenome. Its description in RNAcentral is "bacterial LSU rRNA". It matches the Rfam family "Bacterial large subunit ribosomal RNA", at positions 758 to 2092 of the family's 2925-position model. The record is from RNAcentral.